UGAUUCAUCUGUGGGCUGUUUGAUAUUAUGGGCCAAAAGCUCUGACAUAAUUUCCAGGGCGAAGAGCCUGUUGAGUGUCUGGUCGUCUUUCUGUAACUAUUGUCUCUUACUGAUGGAUGGCUGAUUAUUUUAUAUGUGCUGCUUAAACAAACGCUACACCCCGUCACAGUUAGUUUACAGUAUGUGGUGAGCUGUUAUCGGAAAGUCAAGAAUAUUCCUGUAAAGAUCGCUGUAGUGUCUUGGCGUGGGUCAAAGCGUGAGAGCAGUUCAAACAAAGCGAGAUAUGAAGGCUACAAGCUUGGGAUUGACCUUUGGAGGCGUGGGGUGAAAUGUGUGGAUGAUUUGGAGAUUCACUCACAAGGUGAAGGAUGAAGGGGAAUAAAUAUGUCAACAGCUCUGCGUAAAGACGAGAGGUUAAUCAUAGCACCAUAAUGCAAACAGCAUUAUACAACUGCUUCACGUUUGUCCUUCACUGUUUGUUAAAUAUUCACAGAGGGCACUGGGUCACAACACAAUGAGCCUGCAGCAAAACAACCGACUGGGAGAAGUUCCCAUACGUCUUUUUAUUGAUGAUUCAGGCACCUCGCUGCAUGUCCCAACAAAUCUUCAGUGAAAUCUCUUCUCUUUGUCUAUGCCUCAGAGGAAUGCCAUUGUUUUUGUUCUGAUAAGUGCUUUUGCAACUCCGUCUGUGUCUCCAAAUCCCAGGGAUUCCUCAGAUAACGCAGUGAUUCUUCUGAACAAUGCCAAGUUUGUCCAGGCGUUUUUCUGGGCCUCACGCUGUCUGUUUGUCCACCGAAAGAGGAAUUUUCCACCGCGUGCCUUCCCCGGAGAGAGCGGCUUUCUUCUUCUCGCCUUGUUUUAUAGACACAGGUGGAAGUGGGUCACUGCAGUUUUUCCAUCGAGAAAAUGCAUCUGCGAGAGGAUGUUAAUUUGCACUUGUGAUCAUGGCCUGUCAGUGCCAUUUAAAUAUAGCACGGUGUCACCGCUUUGACGCAACAGGAACAAGCACGUCGGUCGUCCGCCUCGCCCAGCUGGCUUUGAUGCUGCCGUGCAGACAAAGCAAACAUGUGGGAGAACAUCGUGAGCAAUGCUUUGUGCACAAAUUAAAAAUAACUGCAUUUACAACAUAAUGCGCUGUGUUCAAAGAAGUGAAGUGCUGUACAAGUGACACCAAAUCACGCCACACACACACCUAAUCCUCUUAAACAUUUGCUCAGCCAAUCUAAUUUUAUCUGCAGGCCUGAACUGAGCUGAAUGACUGACUCUGUGACGAUCUGUCUCCAGCUGCAACGCUGGGUCUUCCUGCACAGAUGAAGACCAAAGGGGCAAUAUUGUGGACAUGUUGAACAAAAUUACUAAAAGUGAAUCAGAGUCGUGGCACAUCAGAGAGAGUGCACUAAGGAGUCUGGGUUACACAUACACUGAUCAGCCACAACAUUAACACCACUGACAGAUGAAGUGAAUAACAUUCAUCAUAUGUUUACAAUGCAGGGAAACUUUGGAUUCUGGCAAUCAAACCUAAACAUUGCAGACCACAUACAAACACACCCCCAAAGGCAGCGGAGGCUUUGGAGCUUUGACUUGUCAGGGGAAGGCACUCAGGACCUCUAGGGGUAUUUUGUGGUCCCCAGCAUUGGAUCCUUUGGUUGCUGUGCAGGCCUCCAGGUGGUGCAAAUGCAAGUGUCAAGCAGCUGGUUCAUUUAACCAGAUCAGAGAUGAAAGGAUGCGGCGAGGGCCUCUGCUCUCGCCGCCUGCUGCUCAGCAGCCUUUGAAGUUUGCCGUGUGCAGACUCAGUUUGGGAUAAAAGAGCAUCUUGCAUCUUUUACAGGUACUUUGAAAACAUCUCCCUGGAAACCUUGUAUUCACUUGACUUAACAGUGUGAAACACCACUGCUGCAUGUCCUGGCAUCAGCCUGACGCAGCAGGAUGAAGCAGACUGCAGUGUGUUUAUAUAGAAGAGGACGAUGAGUUGGGCUCGUGUAGCCGCCCUACAUCCAAGGAGACUCCAAACAUAGCUCAACUUGUACAGGCAGCAGAUUAUCCAGCAAUGUGAACGGUGUGAAGUAUCACAGUCUGGACAUCUGUGAUACACACCGAACCUCAGAGUGUAAACAUAUUGAGUUAUUGCUGCCUCUGUGAGUGCAUUGGACUAUGCAAUAGCUGGAAUCAUUAGAGCAGAUUCAUGCCUGCUGUGAAUCAUUAAUAUUUAGGUCUGAGACGCCAGGCAAGCUUAACUUAUACAUUUUGAAGAGCGCUAAAGAUGUCAUUUACAGUUUUUAACUGUUAGAGAAUGUAUGCUUGUCUCAUUAGCAACAUGAAGAAGACAUAGAAUAUAAAGUUUAAAGGGCCACAUGUUUUAUGAGGUGUUUUUUCCUGCUGAGGGCUUUUAUUUCUUCCUCUGGGCAUCAGAUGUGAGACAGAAUGUUUCAUGGAAAGUUUCAUUAUAUCAAAUAAAUUA
This is a long non-coding RNA of Scatophagus argus, 2458 nucleotides long. RefSeq lists it as uncharacterized. The record is from RefSeq and is a predicted model, not a curated record. The transcript has 3 exons. Lineage: Eukaryota; Metazoa; Chordata; Actinopteri; Scatophagidae.